GCUGCGUGGUAUUGUCGUGGCGUUUGGCGAUGCAUUUACGUACGGAGUGCGCCGAGUUGUGCGACGAUGUCAAUCGAGGCCGUUCGAGAGGACGUGGGUUUCGGCCCGUGAAACCUAGUGCGGUGGAGGUUGGUUGUUGUUGCGCAGCUUCGUGGAGGUGCGGGUUUUUCGCGCGACGGUUAGUCGAUCCGGCCGGUUUGUGUUGUACGCAUGCGUGCCGCACUUAUGGGUUGUGUCGGUUGGUCGGCGUGCACUGCGCUCUUCUCGGUGUAUAGUCAAUGACCCAUUUGACCCGUCUUGAAACACGGACCAAGGAGUUUAUGGUAUACGCGAGUCAUUGGGCUUUCGAAACCCAAAGGCGUAAUGAAAGUGAGACCUUACUGGUUUGAAUGUGAGCGGUUGUUGUUUCGACGACGGCCGCGCAACAUUGCCCCGUUUCGUGGACUUGUCCUGUUGCGGAGGUUGAGCGUAUGCUAUGAGACCCGAAAGAUGGUGAACUAUGCCUGAACAGGAUGAAGCCAGAGGAAACUCUGGUGGAGGUCCGAAGCGGUUCUGACGUGCAAAUCGAUCGUCUGAUUUUGGUAUAGGGGCGCAAGACUAAUCGAACCAUCUAGUAGCUGG
RNAcentral lists this ribosomal RNA (621 nucleotides) under Bursaphelenchus antoniae. Its description in RNAcentral is "partial large subunit ribosomal RNA". It matches the Rfam family "Eukaryotic large subunit ribosomal RNA", at positions 450 to 954 of the family's 3401-position model. Lineage: Eukaryota; Metazoa; Nematoda; Chromadorea; Rhabditida; Aphelenchoididae. The record is from RNAcentral.